This 680-nucleotide long non-coding RNA is filed under the name Nicotiana tabacum (common tobacco). RNAcentral describes it as "long non-coding RNA (NTAB_LNC010869)". The stretch from base 579 to 651 matches the Rfam family "tRNA". Lineage: Eukaryota; Viridiplantae; Streptophyta; Magnoliopsida; Solanales; Solanaceae. The record is from RNAcentral.
AUAUAUUUAAAAGCCGAUAACCGAUAAGCUAAACCGUUAAGAGUAUAUAACCGCCCAAUCCGCCCGAUAAGCAGCCCUAGUUUUUCCCAAACUUAAAACGUAAUGAGAUCUGAUUUGAUUCUGUUUACCUCUUCUUUAACCUAAGUAAAUCACAUUACUGUCCUCAACCCCCCAAAACGUACUUUUACUCCUUUUUUCUCUCUGUCCGAACAGAAGGUUGAUCUCAUUCGACGUCGUAUCCAAACAAAGGUACAGAUCUCCAUCUGAUCAAUUUUUACACACACACACACACACAGUUGUUUGAUGUUUACACUUCUAUGACUGUGUAUUCAUGUGAAUAUAUACUUCUAUGACUGUGUAUUCAUGUGAAUAUAUACAGAUCUGAAUUUUGUUGUCUGUUAUUUCUGGAGUCGUUUUUCCAUUCAUUUUGAUUUUGUUUGUUUCUUCAGAAAAUGGGGUUUUGAAUUUCGAUCGGUGAAAGUGGUACCCAUUUCUGAUCUUCCUUUGUCGCUUUCGAUGAUAGUAGAAAUGUCGAACAUAAAUAAAUGAAGGAAAAUUGGAGAAGUUGGUAACAAUGUGAUCACAUAGCGGAGUGGAUAUCGCGUUAGACUCCGAAUCUAAAGGUCGUGGGUUCGAAUCCCACUGUGAUCACUGCCUUUGUUUUUGCACCUUUGUUUUGU